RNAcentral lists this ribosomal RNA (301 nucleotides) under uncultured bacterium. RNAcentral describes it as "partial 16S ribosomal RNA". It matches the Rfam family "Bacterial small subunit ribosomal RNA", at positions 509 to 807 of the family's 1533-position model. The record is from RNAcentral.
CAGUAGCCGCGGGAAUACGAAGGGGGCUAGCGUUGCUCGGAAUGACUGGGCGUAAAGGGCGCGUAGGCGGCUUGUACAGUCAGAUGUGAAAUUCCUGGGCUUAACCUGGGGGCUGCAUUUGAUACGUGCGGGCUAGAGUGUGAAAGAGGGUCGUGGAAUUCCCAGUGUAGAGGUGAAAUUCGUAGAUAUUGGGAAGAACACCGGUGGCGAAGGCGGCGACCUGGUUCAUUACUGACGCUGAGGCGCGAAAGCGUGGGGAGCAAACAGGAUUAGAGACCCCAGUAGUCCCUGUCUCUUAUAC